Long non-coding RNA from Mytilus californianus (California mussel), 320 nucleotides. RefSeq lists it as uncharacterized. Lineage: Eukaryota; Metazoa; Mollusca; Bivalvia; Mytilida; Mytilidae. The transcript has 4 exons. The record is from RefSeq and is a predicted model, not a curated record.
AACAAAUGCAGAUGUCUCGGAGGUUAUGAAGGAGAUAUUUGUACGAUUCCUAUCUGUGAUCCAGAAUGUAAGAACAAUGGAACUUGUUCUGAACCUGACACAUGUUUAUGUACAAAUGAAUACGAAGGAGACUUGUGUGAAGUGAGUCUUCUACCUGAAAUAUCAUGUAACAACAUCACUGCUAUGAAAGAAUAAAGGUCAGGGUUCUGUUUCAACUACUUUAAGGAUCGACGCAGUUACAGAUGAAUCCUUUAAAGCAGAUUAUUUUGUUGUCUAUGUUAACAAACAUCAGACUACAACACGCAAACAAGCAAUUUUAA